Molecule: ribosomal RNA, 460 nt
Filed under: uncultured bacterium
Lineage: Bacteria
Description: partial 16S ribosomal RNA
Rfam family: Bacterial small subunit ribosomal RNA
Source: RNAcentral
CCUACGGGCGGCAGCAGUGAGGAAUAUUGGUCAAUGGGCUUACGCCUGAACCAGCGAAGUCGCGUGAGGGAAGACUGCCCUAUGGGUUGUAAACCUCUUUUGUCAGGGAGCAACGCCGGCUACGUGUAGCCGGACUGAGAGUACCUGAAGAAAAAGCAUCGGCUAACUCCGUGCCAGCAGCCGCGGUAAUACGGAGGAUGCGAGCGUUAUCCGGAUUGAUUGGGUUGGAGGGGUGCGUAGGCGGAAUGCCAAGUCAGCGGUAAAAUCGCGGGGCUCAACCUCGCUCCGCCGUUGAAACUGGCGUUCUUGAGUGGGCGAGAAGUAUGCGGAAUGCGUGGUGUAGCGGUGAAAUGCAUAGAUAUCACGCAGAACUCCGAUUGCGAAGGCAGCAUACCGGCGCCCAACUGACGCUGAAGCACGAAAGCGUGGGUAUCGAACAGGAUUAGAUACCCUAGUAGUC